AGACAGAUCAGCAUUACAAAAGCAUUUUUGGCAAGCAGCUGUUGAUACCACAAAUACGACUUUGUGCAUCGACAGAGUAAUCAUAAAUGGCCGCUCAGCAUCAGUUGCAUGUACCAUUCUGAGGGCUUGUGGAUUUUAAGGACGGAGAUACAUAUAUUACAUUCCGGAUCACCAAAACCGAAACCCUCUUACAACACGUCAGAUCGCCAUCGGAAUUUAAGAGCGCCACGAUAUUCCUUUGCAACCGAAGGCACAUCGCUCAAUUAGUCAGAAAGCAUGACCGUGACAACGAUGUCAAAACAGUCUACUACUGUAAAUUAUGCUUCAAUUACAUACUAAUGCGCCGCUGUGCUAUGCUCUGCGUUGUUGCGACGACUCCAGUUUCUUCUCAUGUAUUCCUCGGUGUGAGAGCGCCGCAUCCCAGGGCGACGGAGGUCCAUACGCGGUGUUGAUGUUGACAUUAUUCACACGUUAUUCCACCGACCAAGUUGCCCAGCAGGCCGCACGCACACGACCUGCGAGGAA
Molecule: long non-coding RNA, 525 nt
Filed under: Volvox carteri
Lineage: Eukaryota; Viridiplantae; Chlorophyta; Chlorophyceae; Chlamydomonadales; Volvocaceae
Description: long non-coding RNA (VCAR_LNC001675)
Source: RNAcentral